Long non-coding RNA from Engraulis encrasicolus (European anchovy), 843 nucleotides. RefSeq lists it as uncharacterized. NCBI's taxonomy places the organism in Eukaryota, Metazoa, Chordata, Actinopteri, Clupeiformes, Engraulidae. The record is from RefSeq and is a predicted model, not a curated record. The transcript has 4 exons.
GGAUUCAUCUAAAAUCCAAUAGGAUUUUUGUUUUUACCCAUAAGAUUCUAUAGGUCUACGAAAAUCCUAUAGGAUUUAUAUACAUUCCAAUAGGAUUUUCAUUGUCUCCUAUAAGAUUAGAAAAUCCUAUAGGAUUUACAAGAUUCCAGAGACAGCUGCGAGCGCAGCUAAGUUUGAAAUGAUUUUGGUUGUCAAGGGAAACAAACUGGACGUUGCAGUCGCAUAUCAACCGUUUUCAGGUAGCUAUUGUACUAGAGAUGUAGGCUAACUCGGGCUUGAUUAAAAAAAAAAACAACAACAAAAAACGUUCAAUUAACUUGCCGAAAUGUUUGCCUGUAAUACUGUCACUUCAAGGACCUCUUCAACGCGUUUACUAAUCGAUAUCCGACUUCUGAAGUGCUGCCGUAACUUUACCGUUAGCAAGUUUGCUAACGUGUGAAACGUAGCCUACCCAGCAAGCAGUCACGUCCUCAAGUUUCCUGCUGGAGUUGGGGCUGUCAAACCAUUCAAGUGGCCCAUGAUGACUGACUGAAAGGACAUUAUGGUUCAAGUAGGCCCGACAACAGAGAUCACAGACAACCACAAGAAGUGACCCCAGGAGGGGGACAGACCAUAUGUUGGCAGUUUUUGGAAGGCAGGUCCUAGCCACGCACUCAUAUACCGGAAAACCACCAGUAAAAUUCAACAAAAAAACCUCAUAAACUACUUCACAAACAAAUUUGAUGUGGACACUUCAAUGAUCAAGCAAGCAAUGGCACAGGACUGUUCAGAUGAGGCAAAAAUGACACCCACACAAUGAUCAAAUAAUGAAAUAAUAAAUAUAUUUCGCAUAUGACCAUUUCA